ACAAUCCUUGAGGCUGGAAACCUAACAUAAGUAGUUGCUCAAUGAAUUCUGUUGAAUGUAUGAACUAAGGUUGUCAGCAACAGAUAUUAUCUCUGAGACUGGAUCAGCCAUCCAGCAGAGGACCAGACAUGGAGACAGCUCUGCUUUUGUUUACUGAAGACGACAAUUCCUCAGUGGCCGCAUUUUCUCCUGCAUCUUGACCACAGAGCCCGAGAUUCCUGAGACAGUAAAGGAUUUCAAAGACGACCCAGUCCAAAGGUAGAAACUGUACGGCAUAUCGUCUGACAUGAGUGUCCACACCUUCACAAUGUGUGGCUAAUUAGGUACCUAAUCUGGAUUCAGCUUCAGAAUCCUUCCCAACACAAUCAUCACACAAUCUCUUCCAAGCAAUCAGAAUAAACUCACAAGAAGAAUCUUAUUGACCAGAAGGAGAUUAUCGAAAGCAGAGACACAGAAAGAAUGAAAAAGGCUAAGAUAGACAACCCUAAGAUCUGCCAUCAAAAUGGAGGAAAAUAAGAUCCCCAUUCAUAAUACUGUUUAAAGUGGAUAUGAUGUACUUUAUGGUAGUAACAUUCAAUUCAUGGAACUGAGUGACACCAGGCAAGCUAUUUCAUCUCUAGAAAAUUAGCUGUGAGAAUUAGCUGAGAAAAGAUCUAUAUUGUUUCCAGUUCUAUUCUCCUUCUCCUUGCUCAAAGAUGGCCUUCUGUUGUCGCCUGGGGGCAAAUCUUGCAUGAUUUCUAACCCAUCUGUUUUUGAAUUAGUACGCUUUUAAAAUCCUCCUGAAGAUGGCAGGAGUUUAGGCAGUGAAUGAGUCAUCAAAAGAAUAAGAUUUUUCCUCCAUUUUUGUCUAAAGGAAGGCAGUUACAUUUGGGUCAAAUAAGUCAUCUUUAACCAUGAAAGAGGAGGAAGGGGA
Long non-coding RNA from Symphalangus syndactylus (siamang), 913 nucleotides. RefSeq lists it as uncharacterized. The record is from RefSeq and is a predicted model, not a curated record. NCBI's taxonomy places the organism in Eukaryota, Metazoa, Chordata, Mammalia, Primates, Hylobatidae.